CGAUUUAUUAUCUAUUUUUUUUUUUCUUUCGCCAUUUCAAACACGAGACGUGUGUCAGACGCGUCGCCCAGAUUCUGUAGAGUUUUGGCGGCGGAAAACCGUCACAGUUCAAGUAUAAUAUCCGCGCGUAUUAUAAUAUUGUAUAUUACAGGGGACAGGUGACGUAUUAUUAUUAUUUUUUUUUUUUUAACAAUUAUAUAAUAUAUUACGAUAAGUAUUGUGUACUUUUUUUUUUUUUUUACACUGUGUUUUAUACUUGUAAUGAUAAAUUGUGUAUACGGAUAAUAUGUAGUGAUAGUUUUUUUUUUUUUUUGCGAGAAUUCGUGUCCGCGAGAUACGUCGCGCCGCGCGAAAAUCAGGAAUGCCGUAGCGUGUAACGUUUUUAGAGGGGAAAGUAAAACAUAAAAAUAUAAUGACCGUAAAGGCAAAAUCGUACGACGGGUCAGAGUGGCGGGGGGAGGGGAAGGGGAAUUGGCGCGAGGUCAGAGUGGUUAUUAUUUUUUGCGGCGCACGCUCGUAGGCUCGGCCGGGCAAAAUAUAAUAAAAAAAAAAAAGCGUUCGUCGGACGCGAAGGGGGGAAACGAUAAUCGUGCGCGCGCGUUUCUCUCUGCGGCCUCCGAAGAAUUUCAACGUACAACACAGUCGCGGACGGUUUUUUUUUUUUUUUUUUUUUCCCCCGUUUCGCAUUCCGUUCGCGCGCGUAUAUAAUAUCGGCAAUACGUUUUAUACCGUCGCAAUCGCGCGGUCCGCCCCGGUACACGCUCGGUUAUUUCGUACUGUUACAAUGUGUUCGCCGUCGGGAAUAUCCGCUAUCGUCGCGUUUACAUUUUGCUUUUCCACAGAUAUUGUAAAUGUAUUAUUUUUUUUUUUUUUUUUUUUUCCCCUCUUCUCGUCUGUAAUGUCAUAGCGUCUCGCCGCGACAACGCGGCGGUCAUUGAAUUGUAUACAGGACGCGUGUGCGGAUCGCCGCACGGCCGACGGAACCCAGACGCCGCCGCCCGAGGAGGAGGAGGAGGAGGACCCGACGACAUGUGACGUGAUGUGCGAAACCGCCGUCGCGUUACGCGCACCGUGUACGAAUCGGAAGGGCAUGUAUCGGAGAGAGAUAUCAGGCUAUGGCUGUUUGUGUUCUAUAAAGUCAGUCUUUUUCUCUCUCCUAUUUACCCGCCGAAAAUACCUACACGCACACACGCGCGCGCGACGGGAGGACGUUACCGGAAACGCGCGCGAACUGCCUGUCGGACGCGCCUGUUCGGGGCGCCUCUACUACUGCGACAGCCCGUGUUCGCCCCGCGCAAUGAUGACGGGCACCGUUGUGUAACCGACGAUAACGUCGCAAUAUGUGUUGUAGUUUUUUUUUUUUUUUUUUUUUUUUUUGUUUUUUUAUUGUUUUGUUUUUUAUUACCCGUGCACAUUAUUAUUGUCGUUGUCCGAUGUCCGUUUUACGGUCCGGACGUGUUCCCGAUACCGGGUCUUUUCGCGCGCGCUUAUUUGCCGCUCGGCGGGAGGGAGGGAGGGAGGGAGAAAUACGCGCACGUUCGCAACGACGACGACUGUGUAACGUGUCGAAAUAUUUACGGUGUUUUCGCAUCGCCCAGAGUUAUGUGCAAUCGUCGAUCCAUCGCGUGUUAUUCGGCGCGGGUGACCUCGCCUCGCGCGUUGCCGGGAUCGCGGGCGUCCGGUUGACCGCUACCGGUGGUUUCGACCGUUUUCGAAUCGAACAAGCGGUUUGCUAUUGUCGCGCGUCUUUUCGUCAAUACGUUUACGCACGCGUACGCGUCGGCACGAAAUCGCGACGUUUUACAGUAAUUACGCCAGACG
Molecule: long non-coding RNA, 1821 nt
Filed under: Cinara cedri
Lineage: Eukaryota; Metazoa; Arthropoda; Insecta; Hemiptera; Aphididae
Rfam family: mir-14 microRNA precursor family (bases 1094-1161)
Source: RNAcentral